GGCCGGUUAGCUCAGUUGGUUGAGCAUGGUGCUGAUAACACCGAGGUCACGGGUUCGAUUCCCGUUCUGUCCC
This 73-nucleotide transfer RNA is filed under the name Apaloderma vittatum (bar-tailed trogon). It matches the Rfam family "tRNA". Rfam says of the family: Transfer RNA (tRNA) molecules are approximately 80 nucleotides in length. Their secondary structure includes four short double-helical elements and three loops (D, anti-codon, and T loops). Lineage: Eukaryota; Metazoa; Chordata; Aves; Trogoniformes; Trogonidae. The record is from Rfam by way of RNAcentral.